This 67-nucleotide transfer RNA is filed under the name marine eukaryotic metagenome. It matches the Rfam family "tRNA". From Rfam's summary of the family: Transfer RNA (tRNA) molecules are approximately 80 nucleotides in length. The record is from RNAcentral.
CGACGUAGCUCAGUGGUAGAGCAACUGUUUUGUAAACAGUAGGUCGUUGGUUCGAAUCCGACCGUCG